GCUCUGUUCUUUGACAGAAAGGAAAAGGAAAAAAAAAGAACAAGGCACGAGAGAGAGAGAGCUCCAUUCGAGAGCAGAGAUAGGACGGACGAUAGAGGGGUAGAGAGGGUAGCCGGGAGCUCGGGAUGAAACUCAUGCAAGAGAGGGUCGAGUUUCAGCUCUGUUCACGGGAAGAAGAACAGAGCAGACCCGAUUAGAGAAACAACGCGAGGGAGAAACGACGGCAGAGCAAGAUCGAAGAAGAAGAGGAAGAAGAGAAAAAGGAAUGAAAGGUUAGGGGAGUCUUCCAACCUAGCUUGCAUUCGGGUAACGGGGAGGGCUCUGUUCUUCGACAGAAAGGAAAAAAAAAAAUAGGGCACGAGAGAGAGAGCUCCAUUCGAGAGCAGAGAUAGGACGGACGAUAGAGGGGUAGAGAGGGUAGCCGGGAGCUCGGGAUGAAACUCAUGCAAGAGAGGGUCGAGUUUCAGCUUUGUUCACGAGAAGAAGAACAGAGCAGACCUGAUUAGAGAAACAACGCGAGGGAGAAACGACGGCAGAGCAAGAUCGAAGAAGAAGAGGAAGAAGAGAAAAAGGAAUGAAAGGUUAGGGGAGUCUUCCAACCUAGCUUGCAUUCGGGUAACGGGUAUGUUUAGGUAUUUUGCUUAAUUGCUUUCUCUGAUUUCAUGAGCUUUUCUUGUAUUUGAUUGUAUUAUUCUUGUCGUUCCUUUGGAGUAAUUAAGCUAGCUGAGUUAUUGAAUUUGGGAAUUGGAAAAAUGGGUUGAUUUGGGAGUUGUGGAUUAAUGGCUAAUUGAGGUAGAAAUACAGAUGCUCUUGAGUUUCACUGUAAAAUUGCUAGAUUUUCGCAUUUUAAUUUGGGUGGGUGAAACUUUUUCUUUCAUUUGUUAGGCCUCCCUUUAUUUAGUGUUAAUUGUUUUAAUAAAUUAGGAAAUAGGAAGGGUAUCUUGAGUGUGUAAGUUUAGUUACAAUGGGCUAUAUCGAUAUUAGGUAUUAUCUUGUUUGAUAAGGAGAAAGAUCUCUUGGCUUAGGCUUU
Non-coding RNA from Punica granatum (pomegranate), 1030 nucleotides. Lineage: Eukaryota; Viridiplantae; Streptophyta; Magnoliopsida; Myrtales; Lythraceae. The record is from RefSeq and is a predicted model, not a curated record.